Long non-coding RNA from Zalophus californianus (California sea lion), 1474 nucleotides. RefSeq lists it as uncharacterized. The record is from RefSeq and is a predicted model, not a curated record. NCBI's taxonomy places the organism in Eukaryota, Metazoa, Chordata, Mammalia, Carnivora, Otariidae. The transcript is spliced from 3 exons.
GUGUAUAGGUUAAAAUAGGAUACAGUGGAGCUGGGAAGUGAUCAGUCUGUCCUCACAAGAAAAAAAGCUGAAUAAACUAAAAUUUAACAACUCUUCUUAGAUCCAUGAGAAAAUUGAAGUCAUGGCUGAAUUGCUGCCUUGAAAAUUGGGGGGAAGACUGACUACAGAGAGUCAUAGUAUACCAGGCUCAGAAGCUGCUGCUGGAGCCAGUAACUGAUGCUGAUCUUUCUUAUUAUUUAAAUUAUGAUUUUAAUGAAGAUACCUGGAAAGCUUACUGUGAAAAACAAAAGAGGUUAUGAAUGGGACUUGAAGUUAUACCAGUUACCUCUACUACAAAUAAAAUUACAGUAAUUAAAUCCAUUUCUUUCUGGAGAGCUGGUUAUGGAACCUUUGCUUGCAUGCCAGUAUCUACACACCAGCGGAAGUACUGCAGAUAUUUCCAAGCAUGCUCCCAUCCAAAUUGCCAGGAGUCACUGCUGAGGACUCAGCCAUCGCUGUGACGACAGACUUUCAUAAUGUCUAGUCCGGAUCCAGUUGCUGUACAGGGGAUCAGUGCGGGGGCCCAGCCGUUCUAACUGGGGGAGACACCACUCCUUGUUUUCCUUUCCAAAGGCAGAGGGUCCAGGUGAAAUGACAAAGCCUGUGCCUGUAAAGCUUAUAGAACUUAAUGAUAAGGAUUCAAAGAUAAAUUCAAUGGAAAGGUCAGUCACAGGGCCUAUUGCUCAUGUGAUACAAAGCGACUUGUGCCAGGCUGGCUUUUGCAGACCUCAAACAUUGGACAUACAUUCAGAGCUCCACUUAAUGCUCCCAGCCAAGAAAUCAAUUGCUUCCAGGCUGGGGUGGAGGGACUGUGAUGUGGCCAAAGGUACAAGAGGGCUCCUGGCCCAGCAGGCAUUCGCUUUCACUCUGCAGUAAUCUCUAAUGCAGAAGUGGGUUAAAGGCUCUGAAAGGUCAGGACAUUGACACCCCGUGACUGGUAUCACCCCUUGUGGCUCUCCCUGUUCCUUCUCUCAGUGUCCUCAGGGCCUCCCUUAGCAAGAGCCCACAUGGCCUUGUGGAAACAGAUCCUACUUUUCUAGACUGUGCCAGGGUAGUCUGAGUGAGAAGGGAAAGUGGCAAGGAGAGAAUCACUUCUAUAAACAGUCCACAGUAGAGAGAGCUUGUAAGUGCUGUCUCCAAAGGAGGGCCCCGCAUCAGCUGUCAUGGUGAGCAAAAGCAGGGCUGUGAGAAGGCUCAUCCCUGGGAUGGGGCAGCACUGAGAUCCUGGCCUAGGAAGGCUGUCUCUGUGUGCUUUCCUCAAUGGCAGGAUGGAGAUAAGACAGGUGACACAUUUAUGUGACAUUUCCAACCACAAGCCCUGAAUCUUUUUUGUGUCCUGGGGAGUGUCAGCUUUUUAAUGAUCUCUCUGGACCCCUGGGGAGCUAUUUACAGGGAAAAUACCUUUUAUCCUCAAAUUCUCCAUGUGCCAUGAAGA